UGUGUAUGUUAGAGUGUGCUUAGCUACUGCUGCUACAAAGUUAUAUAUAAAGAAGUUGAAACGUAAAACGGUGUCCUUAUUCCCUAACCGGAGUACGCUCACGGGUGAAGAGUCCCAGCACAACAACAACAUCAGUUUAUCCAUAUAGUUCUUCAAUAUUGGUCCUUCGAGCCGGAUUGCUUCACUCGCAACGGAGAAAUGGACACAGCGCUAACAACAGCGGCAGACGGCGGCGCACUCGGAGCAAGACAGCGACAGCUUCCAACUCGUCUAGAAAGCUACCAGGUUAGCCUUCCACAGUCCCUCAUUCCUCACGGUGCCCGCCCGGAGGACCGAGGAGAGAGCGUUGGCGCCCAGCGGCUGCAGUCACUCAGCCUACAGACCGUGUGUGUGUAUGGAGGAUCAGCCGCACGGAGCGCACGCUAUCCCCGAUCGUCCAUUAUCGCCGGGACCGCCCGACAAGGUGAGCGAGUGGAACAUGGCGAUACAUGCUAGAGACUUGCCCAGCCAGCUAACGUGCCAUAUGAGCCAUCCAUCGGCGGCGCACGCGGGGCGGAGCUAUCAAAGCAGGCAGGGUUCUCCUGUCCUACGGCCACCAGCUAUUCUCAAUAUGAGCGUCCCAACAUAUCAAUCACCCUGGCUAAGCUGUCCAGUAGUUCACAGCACCCCUCUGUCACAGCCAUCCAGCCUCCAUCUUGGAUCAUAUAGGCUGCUUCUGCAUGAGACACACCUGUCUGCACUGCCACAUACCACCUUUACAGCACUAAAGCUUCAAGCAGCAAUGACUCCUACACCAGGUAGUAGACAGGAGAACUACACACUGACGCAGUCUCUGCCUUCAACUGUGACAUCUGCAUGGGCACCGUCUCCCCUCACUACGCUGAACGUUUCUAUGCUGCAGACUACACCUCAAGCUUCACAAGCAGUGAGUUAUGCCAGCCCACAGACAUCAGUUACAUCAGGCUACCCGUCUAACCAGCCUACCACAGUAAUGAUUAACAAUGUACAGGAAAGAGUGCCACCAGCUGCACAACUGCAAUACCUGCCCAUGCAGAAAACACCAGUAAAUCCAGCACCAGUGCAGCAAUACACCCCACUCCUGUCCGCACAGCCAGUGAGGCAAUACACCCCACUCCCAUCUGCACAGCCCGUGCAGCAACACGCUCCACUGUUUGCACAACCGGCCUAUCAACCCCCCCAGAUAGCAACAGCGCCAUAUUCUGCACCACAGCUACCUGUUGCGGCUGGCACUCAGCCAGUUAUCAAUCCAUUGCCCUACAGCGCUGCCACUCCCCUGGGGACUGUCUAUCAGCCUCCAUCAACCAGCGCUACACAGCCAUUAUACCAGUCACCACUGCCACCGCAGAACCAACAGCUGCAACUCUACCAGCCUGUGUCUCCGCCGUCAACUCAGCCAGCAUAUCAACUGGUGUCUCCCCCUGCUGGUUUCACUCUGCAACAGCCCCCAUCAGCUCAACAGGUUCAGUACAGCCCCCAGUCUCAGUAUACACCACUGCAGGUACCGUACACUACCCAGUCCCCCAGACAGCCUGUUCCAAUACCUGAACUACCUAAGUUGGUGCACGACAGUGAGAGAGAGUUUGCUGACUUAAAAAUGGCGUUAGAUCACCUGCUCAAUCCACACACUGAACUUUCUGAACAUUACAAAUACCGUGUGCUUAUGGAACACUUGGUCCUGGAUGAAGCCAAGCUAAUAGCUCAGUCACACAGACAUUAUGUACAGCCCUACACCGCCACAAUGCAGGCUUUGCAGUGACAGUACGGGCAGCCACAUCAGUUGGCACAAAGUGAGAUUGCAGACAUCCUGAACUCUCCUGAUCUCAAAUCAGGACACCCUAAAUCUUUCCAGAGCUUCGCCCUCAACGUUGACUUGCUGGUGGGAAUGCUAACCUCAUUGGAAGGGCCUAAAGGGAUGGACGUGAUGUCUACUGGCCAUGUUGACCGACUACUUAGGUCAGCUUGAUGUGCUCCCAUUCCGUAGCGAGCGGCUAGCAGUGCGGUCUCGCCUGAACCAGGAAGCGGUGAGCGUCUUGGAAGCACGCACUAAGAGAGUGAAGGUUGGUGACACACUUCGCUACACUACACCCCUGCUCCGGGUAAAAGGUGCACCACCAUUAAAAGCAGAUGUUGAAGCUGUGAUGCCAAAGCUACGCAGUACAGAGAGACGACUGCUUAAAGACACUGUCAAAGCUAAAAUAUACGAAGCAGAGAUCCAGAAGCUUAUAGAUGGUGGGUGUGUCACAAAGCUCCAGGAGGCAGAGGGAAACCGCUCCAGUGAGUCAUGGUUCAUACCUCAUCACCUCGUCCAUCACAAUGGCAAACAUCGCCUUGUCUUUGACUGCUCCUUUAAUCAUGGUGGUCUCUCUCUCAACGAGCAGCUUCUCCCAGGUCCAACCCUCGGCCCAUCUCUCAUCGGGCUCCUCCUGCGGUUCCGCCAGCACACUGUCGCCAUCAGUGGAGAUAUCCGAGCCAUGUUCCACCAAGUUCGGCUUCUGCCGGAGGACCAGCCGUUGCUGAGGAAAUGAAGACGUCCUGCAGUUCAUCGAACAGUCUUUCUACGUGGACAACUGUCUGCAGAGCCUGUCAACGACUGAGUCAGCCAAGGACAAGAUGCGACAAUGUCUGGCCUCAGGAGGAUUUGAGAUUCGACAGUGGGCAAGUAACUUCUCAUGUGUUGUCUCCCACUUGCCUUCCAGUGCCCGAUCUGAAAGUACAGAGCUGUGGCUGCCCGAGAAGAGCAACGAUCCACAGGAGCCGGCCCUUGGUCUGCGGUGGUAUUGUCCAUCUGAUCGGCUCGGUUUCAAGCCAAAGCCUCCAGAGAGUGAGACCCCUACUAUGCGGUACAUCUAUAAGGUACUCGCCCGCCAGUAUGAUCCGAUCGGGAUCAUUAUCCCGUACACUACACGGGCCAAGAUUCUUGUCCAGAAACUGUGGGCAAAGAAGAGGAGCUGGGACGACCCGAAUCUCCCUCCUGACAUCCUCCAAGCCUGGUCCAGCUGGGAGAGAGAACUCCCCGAGCUGGCCAACAUCUCCAUCCCUCGAACUUAUGCACCAUUGGAGCUUGCUACUGACACCACAGAGUACACUCUCCACGUCUUCUGUGACUCCUCUGAGCAAGCCUACGGGUCAGUGGCAUAUCUCACCACAAGAACUAAUGACACUGUCUAUGUCUCAUUUGUGAUGGCAAGGUCUAGAGUGGCCCCAAAACGCCAGCAGUCAAUGCCACGGUUGGAGCUCUGUGCCGCGCUGACAGGAGCCCAGCUGUCCUCCCUCCUUCACAAAGAGCUCACCUUGUGUAUUGCCCAGACCUUCUUAUGGACUGACUCCACAACAGUUCUCACCUGGCUGACAUCCAGUGUUGGGUUAGUUACUGAAAACCAGUAACUAGUUACAGUUACUAGUUACUUUAUUUCAAAAGUAACUCAGUUACUAACUCAGUUACUUACACCAAAAAGUAAUGUGUUACUGUGAAAAGUAACUAUUUAGUUACUUCUUCUACUUUUUGUUUUUAAAGCUCCCAUUAAUGCCCUUUUAGCCUUCAUUUCAGUACUGUUAUUGCACUGGAGAAUAAUACAAUCUGUUGAUCAACUUGACAUGCAUUUGCAUCACUGAACUCUGCUAAGCAAUGUGCUCUACAUACAACACACAAAGACAAAGAUAUGUUUCAAAGGGCCAAUUUAUUUCAGGCCAGAACAAAUUGACAAAACUAUUUUAAAUAGCUGCAACAUAACAUACAUAAGUAACAAACAGCAUAAUAACACUAACACUAACACUAACCACGUUAAACCCAGAUUCCAAACUAACAAAGGUCUUAACUCAUUCUCUUUCUAUGCCACUUCAAUAUGGAAUCCACUCCCAACAGGUGUAAAAUAAAGGGCAUCUCUAUCCUCCUUCAAAACCGCAGUAAAAGAACAUCUCCAGGCAACUUCAACCCUAAACUAACACCCUCCCUUCCACAUAAUACCUCUUCGGAUUGUAAAUAAUCAAAUGUAGACAUUUUUUCUUAUACUUUCUGAUCUCUCUCUCUGUGUCCACUACUUGCUAUACAUAUCCUACCAAGUCAGUCCUACACUGUUUCAAUGUCCAUUUCUCUGAUGAUGCAAUUGUUGAUGCUGAUUGUUGAUGACAGAAGUGUUGAUACCAACCAAACCAAACCCACCCCCCACCCCCCCAUCCUCCAUAUCCCACACCCCGGAUUGUAAAUAAUUCAAUGUAUAUAUCCUGAUGAUUAUCUUGUGUGAUGACUGUAUUAUGAUGUUAGUAUAUAUCUGAUAGCAUAUAUCUGUAUCAUGAAUCAGUGGACCCCGACUUAAGCAAGUUGAAAAACUUAUUGGGGUGUUACCAUUUAGUGGUUAAUUGUACGGAAUAUGUACUGUACUGUGCAACCUACUAAUAAAAGUUUCAAUCAAUCAAUCAAUCAACAACAUAGCUGUAAACCUGGCUUCACCUAAGGAAGGCACACGUGACAUACACAGAGCCUAACCAGGCAGAUUUGAAUUGUUGUUUUGGGCAGUAGACGGGAUCUUUGAUCCAAGACACAACUUACAUUUAAAUAAAAUGUUAUUUUCUUUGUGCUCGACAAAAGAAAAGAAGUGAGAAUAUCUCAUACUUGCCAACCCUUCCGAAUUUCAGUGCCUCUCCCCGGGACAACCAUUCUC
Non-coding RNA from Nerophis lumbriciformis (worm pipefish), 4679 nucleotides. Lineage: Eukaryota; Metazoa; Chordata; Actinopteri; Syngnathiformes; Syngnathidae. The record is from RefSeq and is a predicted model, not a curated record.